Molecule: ribosomal RNA, 545 nt
Filed under: uncultured bacterium
Lineage: Bacteria
Description: bacterial SSU rRNA
Rfam family: Bacterial small subunit ribosomal RNA
Source: RNAcentral
AAUAGAUACCCUGGUAGUCCACCCCGUAAACGUUGGGAACUAGUUGUGGGGUCCUUUCCACGGAUUCCGUGACGCAGCUAACGCAUUAAGUUCCCCGCCUGGGGAGUACGGCCGCAAGGCUAAAACUCAAAGGAAUUGACGGGGACCCGCACAAGCGGCGGAGCAUGCGGAUUAAUUCGAUGCAACGCGAAGAACCUUACCAAGGCUUGACAUACACCGGAAACGGCCAGAGAUGGUCGCCCCGCAAGGUCGGUGUACAGGUGGUGCAUGGUUGUCGUCAGCUCGUGUCGUGAGAUGUUGGGUUAAGUCCCGCAACGAGCGCAACCCUCGUUCUAUGUUGCCAGCACGUAAUGGUGGGAACUCAUGGGAUACUGCCGGGGUCAACUCGGAGGAAGGUGGGGAUGACGUCAAAUCAUCAUGCCCCUUAUGUCUUGGGCUUCACGCAUGCUACAAUGGCCGGUACAAAGGGCUGCAAUACCGUGAGUGGAGCGAAUCCCAAAAAGCCGGUCCAGUUCGGAUUGAGGUCUGCAACUCGACCUCAUGAA